RNAcentral lists this ribosomal RNA (493 nucleotides) under uncultured bacterium. RNAcentral describes it as "bacterial SSU rRNA". It matches the Rfam family "Bacterial small subunit ribosomal RNA", at positions 9 to 500 of the family's 1533-position model. The record is from RNAcentral.
GAGUUUGAUCCUGGCUCAGGACGAACGCUGGCGGCGUGCCUAACACAUGCAAGUCGAACGAAGCUUGAAUUCAGAUUUCUUCGGAAUGAAGAAUGAUAUGACUGAGUGGCGGACGGGUGAGUAACGCGUGAGCAACCUGCCCUUCGGAGGGGGAUAGUGUCUGGAAACGGACAGUAAUACCGCAUAACGUAUUUUUACCGCAUGAUAGAAAUACCAAAACUGAGGUGCCGAAGGAUGGGCUCGCGUUGGAUUAGAUAGUUGGCGGGGUAACGGCCUACCAAGUCAACGAUCCAUAGCCGGACUGAGAGGUUGAACGGCCACAUUGGGACUGAGACACGGCCCAGACUCCUACGGGAGGCAGCAGUGGGGAAUAUUGCACAAUGGGGGAAACCCUGAUGCAGCAACGCCGCGUGAAGGAAGACGGUUUUCGGAUUGUAAACUUCUGUUCUUAGUGAAGAAAAAUGACGGUAGCUAAGGAGCAAGCCACGGCUAA